AACGCACCUUGCGCUCCUUGGUAUUCCGAGGAGCAUGCCUGUUUGAGUGUCAUUAAAUUCUCAAAAAACCUUUGGUAGUAAUAUCAAAGGCUUUCUUGGAUGUGAGGGUUUUACUGUUGGCGAAAGUCAACUCCCUUGAAAUGAAUUAGCUUGGUUGAUUGGACUUUGUCUAUUGGUGUGAUAAUUAUCUACGCCAUUGGAUUGUCUGCUUAUCAAACUGCUUCUAAUUGUCCCUUUGGGACUAAUAAAUGACCAUUUGACCUCAAAUCAGGUAGGACUACCCGCUGAACUUAA
RNAcentral lists this unclassified non-coding RNA (294 nucleotides) under uncultured Phaeocollybia. Its description in RNAcentral is "sequence contains ITS2". The stretch from base 1 to 52 matches the Rfam family "5.8S ribosomal RNA", at positions 103 to 154 of the family's 154-position model. Lineage: Eukaryota; Fungi; Basidiomycota; Agaricomycetes; Agaricales; Cortinariaceae. The record is from RNAcentral.